This 253-nucleotide ribosomal RNA is filed under the name uncultured bacterium. Its description in RNAcentral is "partial 16S ribosomal RNA". It matches the Rfam family "Bacterial small subunit ribosomal RNA", at positions 524 to 776 of the family's 1533-position model. The record is from RNAcentral.
UACGAAGGGGGCUAGCGUUGUUCGGAUUUACUGGGCGUAAAGCGCACGUAGGCGGAUUGUUAAGUCGGGGGUGAAAUCCUGGAGCUCAACUCCAGAAUUGCCUUCGAUACUGGCUUUCUAGAGGCUGGAAGAGGUUAGUGGAAUUCCCAGUGUAGAGGUGAAAUUCGUAGAUAUUGGGAGGAACACCAGUGGCGAAGGCGGCUCACUGGACCGGAACUGACGCUGAGGCGCGAAAGCGUGGGGAGCAAACAGG